GUCAGUGGCUACCGUCAACUGUUUAGUUCCCAACCUCCUUCAAAAUAUCCUUAAAAUAUAUUUUGAAGAAUGUUAGUAACCAAAAUAUCUUAUUUUGAAGAAUAUUGGUAACCAAACAGUUGAUGGUAGCCAUCAUCUUCCAUAGCAUUUUUUUUCAUACUAUGGAAGUCAAUGGCUACCGUCAACCCCAAAGUAUCUUCUAAUGACAGAACUGUCAUUUUUGGGUGAACUGUAUCUUUUAAGAAUUGACUGUGAACCCAACGCUUACCAAAUGACCUCGGCCAAAUUUCACCGGCGAUUUCACAAAGAUAUUCAGGGCCAGCUGAAGGUUCGGUGUCCCGAGCGUUUGUGCCAUUUCUCUGCUCUCUGUACCCAUGAUGCACUGCAGCGGUCGCUUCGACUUCCUCUCAAACCCAGCUCAGAGCUUUAAGUUCUCUAUUCUGGUGCCAUAUAUCAUGAGUUUAAAAGAAGAUCCGUCUUUGACAACUUUUUGAUUGAGUUUUGUACUUAUUUGUUUAUUUAGUGCUCCGUCGGUCUCUCUUUGCUUUCGGUUGCGAUGUCGUAGCAUUAGAAACGUUGCGACGCCCAAUUCUGGCACGACGAAAUCCCAAAGUGCCAAAGUAGCGCGUUUCCCAGCCAUCGCUUGGCCAAUCACGGGCCCGCUCUGCAUCUCGAUACUUUCAGGAAACGGCGUUCUCUUCAGGUUAACCGGGAAAGUUCGGAUUGGGGAGUUUCCGACGAUGUAGCAAGCAAUAUCUCCAGCAAUAGUCCGUAGACCGACCUUUGGGCAUUGAGAUCCACUUCAGGCCAGCUCCGAUCGCGUGCUCGAAGGCCUUCGUGGCGUUUCGAUGAACUGACCUCGUUUCGUUUGAAAUAACGUACGAUAUGUAGCCAAAUUCCUUCGGCCAGAGGAAAACCAAAGGCUUUGACAUUAGCUGAUUGUAUUUACAGAUGUCUAGAAAAGUGUUGCCACACUGUAUCGUCUCAGUUUGUGAUCUUGUCCAGUCGUCGGAUCAAAGGAAAGGCUUUCGGUUUGUUUUAUGCAUCAUAUUGUGGGUGAUUUAUGCAAUACAUUCUCACGCUUCAUUAUGCACUAAAGACAGUCCAGUGUUUCGUCACCGCCGCCGUUGUGCCAGUUACACCUGAGUUACAGCCUUCUAACACUUCUGUAUCUCAUGAAACUUGUGAAGAAACAUAUUUCACACCAGAAACAAAACAGAGAGAGAGAGAGAGAAAAAAAUAUAUAUUUUGUAUAUUUUUAAGAUAACUAAGUCUAUCUCUCUCUUUCUCUAUAUAUAUAUUGGUUUUUUAUUUUUGUUUUUAUUUGAAUUUUUUUUUUCACUUUUAUCUGUUUUUAUAUUUUAGUAUUUUAUUUU
Long non-coding RNA from Cyprinus carpio carpio, 1376 nucleotides. The record is from Ensembl. Lineage: Eukaryota; Metazoa; Chordata; Actinopteri; Cypriniformes; Cyprinidae.